CAGUCGCCGCGGUAAUACGAAGGGUGCAAGCGUUAUUCGGAAUUACUGGGCGUAAAGCGCACGUAGGCGGAUAUUUAAGUCAGGGGUGAAAUCCCGCAGCUCAACUGCGGAACUGCCUUUGAUACUGGGUAUCUUGAGUAUGGAAGAGGUUAGUGGAAUUGCGAGUGUAGAGGUGAAAUUCGUAGAUAUUCGCAGGAACACCAGUGGCGAAGGCGGCUAACUGGUCCAUAACUGACGCUGAGGUGCGAAAGCGUGGGGAGCAAACAGGAUUAGAUACCCGGGUAGUCCCUGUCUCUUAUAC
RNAcentral lists this ribosomal RNA (301 nucleotides) under uncultured bacterium. Its description in RNAcentral is "partial 16S ribosomal RNA". It matches the Rfam family "Bacterial small subunit ribosomal RNA", at positions 509 to 807 of the family's 1533-position model. The record is from RNAcentral.